ACCUGGCUGGCUCAGUUGGUAGAGCAUGUGACUCUGAAUCUCAGUGUUGUGGGUUGGAGCCCAGUGUUGGGUG
Molecule: transfer RNA, 73 nt
Filed under: Mustela putorius furo (domestic ferret)
Lineage: Eukaryota; Metazoa; Chordata; Mammalia; Carnivora; Mustelidae
Also listed under: 2 other names
Rfam family: tRNA
About the family: Transfer RNA (tRNA) molecules are approximately 80 nucleotides in length. Their secondary structure includes four short double-helical elements and three loops (D, anti-codon, and T loops).
Source: Rfam by way of RNAcentral